RNAcentral lists this ribosomal RNA (497 nucleotides) under uncultured bacterium. RNAcentral describes it as "partial 16S ribosomal RNA". It matches the Rfam family "Bacterial small subunit ribosomal RNA", at positions 28 to 507 of the family's 1533-position model. The record is from RNAcentral.
GAUGAACGCUGGCGGCGUGCCUAAUACAUGCAAGUCGAGCGAACAGAUGAGGAGCUUGCUCCUCUGACGUUAGCGGCGGACGGGUGAGUAACACGUGGAUAACCUACCUAUAAGACUGGGAUAACUACGGGAAACCGGAGCUAAUACCGGAUAAUAUAUUGAACCGCAUGGUUCAAUAGUGAAAGACGGUUUUGCUGUCACUUAUAGAUGGAUCCGCGCCGCAUUAGCUAGUUGGUAAGGUAACGGCUUACCAAGGCAACGAUGCGUAGCCGACCUGAGAGGAUGAUCAGCCACACUGGAACUGAGACACGGUCCAGACUCCUACGGGAGGCAGCAGUAGGGAAUCUUCCGCAAUGGGCGAAAGCCUGACGGAGCAACGCCGCGUGAGUGAUGAAGGUCUUCGGAUCGUAAAACUCUGUUAUUAGGGAAGAACAAAUGUGUAAGUAACUAUGCACGUCUUGACGGUACCUAAUCAGAAAGCCACGGCUAACUACGUG